CAGCAGUGAGGAAGGCGGAGUCGUUAAUAGCGGCUCGUUUGACGUUAGCUGCAGAAGAAAGCACCGGCUAACUCCGUGCCAGCAGCCGCGGUAAUACGGAGGGUGCGAGCGUUAAUCGGAAUUACUGGGCGUAAAGCGCAUGCAGGUGGUUUGUUAAGUCAGAUGUGAAAGACCCGGGGCGUCAACCUCGGAAUAGCAUUUGAAACUAGGCAGACUAGAGUACUGUAGAGGGGGGUAGGAAUUUCAGGUGUAGCGGUGAAAUGCGUAGAGAUCUGAAGGAAUACCGGUGGCGAAGGCGGCCCCCUGGACAGAUACUGACACUCAGAUGCGAAAGCGUGGGGAGCAAACAGGAUUAGAUACCCUGGUAG
RNAcentral lists this ribosomal RNA (368 nucleotides) under uncultured bacterium. RNAcentral's name for it is "bacterial SSU rRNA". It matches the Rfam family "Bacterial small subunit ribosomal RNA", at positions 434 to 793 of the family's 1533-position model. The record is from RNAcentral.